Molecule: ribosomal RNA, 229 nt
Filed under: uncultured bacterium
Lineage: Bacteria
Description: partial 16S ribosomal RNA
Rfam family: Bacterial small subunit ribosomal RNA
Source: RNAcentral
UGCGCAGGCGGGCAUUUAAGUCAGUGGUGAAAUACUGCCGCUUAACGGUAGAACUGCCAUUGAUACUGAAUGUCUUGAGUAAGGUUGAGGUAGGCGGAAUGUGUAGUGUAGCGGUGAAAUGCAUAGAUAUUACACAGAACUCCGAUUGCGAAGGCAGCUUACUAAGCCAUAACUGACGCUGAGGCACGAAAGCGUGGGGAGCGAACAGGAUUAGAUACCCUGGUAGUCC